This 191-nucleotide ribosomal RNA is filed under the name uncultured bacterium. RNAcentral describes it as "partial 16S ribosomal RNA". It matches the Rfam family "Bacterial small subunit ribosomal RNA", at positions 337 to 525 of the family's 1533-position model. The record is from RNAcentral.
UCCUACGGGAGGCAGCAGUGAGGAAUAUUGGUCAAUGGACGCAAGUCUGAACCAGCCAUGCCGCGUGCAGGAUGACUGCCCUAUGGGUUGUAAACUGCUUUUGUCGAGGAAUAAAUGUAGCUACGUGUAGUUAUUUGAAUGUACUCGAAGAAUAAGGAUCGGCUAACUCCGUGCCAGCAGCCGCGGUAAUA